Molecule: long non-coding RNA, 238 nt
Filed under: Homo sapiens (human)
Lineage: Eukaryota; Metazoa; Chordata; Mammalia; Primates; Hominidae
Description: HSALNT0375993
Source: RNAcentral
AGGCCUAUAAUUUUUACAACUUAUUUGGACACUGCAUAAGAUUCAUUCAUGUGCGCAUGAGUUAUUUGGAAGUGCUUGUCAUUAAAUUAAACGUGACUUGCUCCUCCUUGCCUUCAGCCAUGAUUGUGAGACCUUGCCAGCCACUUGGAACAGAAUGUUAUGAGGAAUGAAAUGAGAAUUAUAUCUAUCAAGAACUCGACAUAGAGUCAGAGGAUAUGUAAUGACUUAAGAUACCAAC